RNAcentral lists this ribosomal RNA (497 nucleotides) under uncultured bacterium. RNAcentral describes it as "partial 16S ribosomal RNA". It matches the Rfam family "Bacterial small subunit ribosomal RNA", at positions 28 to 507 of the family's 1533-position model. The record is from RNAcentral.
GAUGAACGCUGGCGGCGUGCCUAAUACAUGCAAGUCGAGCGAACAGACGAGGAGCUUGCUCCUCUGACGUUAGCGGCGGACGUGUGAGUAACACGUGGAUAACCUACCUAUAAGACUUGGAUAACUUCGUGAAACCUUAGCUAAUACCGGAUAAUAUAUUGAACCGCAUGGUUCAAUAGUGUAAGUCGUUUUUUCUGUCUCUUUUAGAUGUAUCCGCGCCGCAUUAGCUAGUUGGUAAGGUAACGGCUUACCAAGGCAACGAUGCGUAGCCGACCUGAGCGGGUGAUAGGGGAGAAUGGAACGGAGACACGGUCCAGACACAUACGGGAGGCAGCAGUAGGGAAUGUACCGAAAUGGGCGAAAGAUGGACGGAGCAAAGCCGCGUGAGAGAAGAAGGUAUACGGAUAGUAAAACUCUGUAAUUAGGGAAGAAAAAAAGUGUAAGAAACUAUGCACGAAAUGACGGUACCUAAACAGAAAGCAACGGCUAACUACGUG